AUCAGCAGCAGCGAGCUCUCUGGAUUUAUCGAGGCCGGUUUGGUGGUGUAAGCAGAACCUGCCGACUCGAUGGAAGCAUUGCAGGUCGUAAAGAUAAGACAGCUCAGAGAAACGGCUUUUAUUGCUUUGCUGCACAGUCCGAUACUGUAAACCCCACUCUCUGCAGCUCUGAGGAGAGGAGCUCACAUACUGCAGCUCAAUUAGAGUGGAGCACGCUGCGUGGGAUCGCUCCUUGACGUGGCUGUAAUUGAAAUGAACAGCAGCUCGGCCUCCCCUGGAGAGGCCUGCCUAAUGCCAUUAGAGGGGAUCUGAGGGUCCAACAACAGCAAGGACACAGACUGAACGGGUCACAGGCUGAACAAACGCUCAUCUUGUGGAAGAAGCUGAAAAAUAUUAGAGCUUCUAAAAACAAAGCUUUAAAACAUUAAAUCUGAAUCUUUGAUAAUGUUUACAAGCUUGUUAAGCAUCCACAAAACUCUGUGAGUUGGAAAUAACCAUCAAUAACUUUCCCACAACUUAGUUUGACACCUGUUGACCAAGAGAAGCACACGUUAC
Molecule: long non-coding RNA, 555 nt
Organism: Notolabrus celidotus (New Zealand spotty)
Lineage: Eukaryota; Metazoa; Chordata; Actinopteri; Labriformes; Labridae
Exons: 3
Source: RefSeq, a predicted model, not a curated record